AUGAGGCCUGGUUGCUUUGUCUAAGGUAGCAGAAAUGGCAUACGGGGCAGGAUGGCACCCAACCCCGCCUGUACUCCGGGGAUGUUCUCUGUGUCUUCUGUAAAAACUGUCACUGUUCUCUGAAGAAAGGUACCGCAAUGACUGAAAGCAUAGAAUUGUGCCUAGUGUGUCACUUCUGAUGCACCUAGAUAGCCCUAGAGAGGGUCAAGGAGACUCAACGACCUAGUGGUAAAAGUUGGUGUGAGAGUCGACCCUGCUCAGCACGUUCACGUGGUACACAAGGAUGGAAAUAUAUGCUCUGUGCCGGUUGGAAACUGGUGGGGAAGGGACCCCAGCCAGGCCUUAAGCUCACACCAUGGCCCUGUCGUCAAUAGUAGCAGAGGGAACAACGAAGUUACAUUUUCUGCCUAUAUCCUAGGACCCAGCAGGGAGCCUCGGUAUGGGAACUAGAAUAUGUAAAGUUGCACACACUGCUUUUAUUCUGCUUCUACUGGAUGGUUGUGGUCUAGACUGUCCAGCAGGGGAAACAUGGGCUAAAGGCUAAGGAGCCAGUGAUGCCCCAAUGGAUCUGAGUAUCACGAUCCCUAAAGAUGUGGACCAGGCAAAGCACCUACUAGCUGUCUGCAGACUCUCAGUGCCCAGCCUCCCACACACAAAGCAGAACAAUACGCUUGCUGGGAAAUUCCUUCAAGCCUGACUCGCUUUCUGGAAUCUGCCCUGAGUGCAGCACCAAGGACUACCCUUGCUUUCUAUCUCCUUGAAGCUCACAGGCUACCCUGCAUACCCAGGAAUGGUGGUGAAGUCAAGACCCUACAGACUGUACUUGAUUCACUUGCAAAAACUUAGUUCGAUACUCAUCUGAUCCUGACUUUGCCGGGAGACCCAGACUGAGGGAGCCAGAAGAGACAAGAAGCUUUCUUCUGCUCCUGAUGUUGGCAUCCACACUCCAGCCCCAG
Molecule: long non-coding RNA, 956 nt
Organism: Mastomys coucha (southern multimammate mouse)
Lineage: Eukaryota; Metazoa; Chordata; Mammalia; Rodentia; Muridae
Exons: 5
Source: RefSeq, a predicted model, not a curated record